UACGAAGGGGGCUAGCGUUGCUCGGAAUCACUGGGCGUAAAGCGCACGUAGGCGGAUUUCUAAGUUAGGGGUGAAAUCCUGGAGCUCAACUCCAGAACUGCCUUUGAUACUGGGAAUCUUCGAGUCCGGGAGAGGUGAGUGGAACUGCGAGUGUAGAGGUGAAAUUCGUAGAUAUUCGCAAGAACACCAGUGGCGAAGGCGGCUCACUGGCCCGGUACUGACGCUGAGGUGCGAAAGCGUGGGGAGCAAACAGG
RNAcentral lists this ribosomal RNA (254 nucleotides) under uncultured bacterium. Its description in RNAcentral is "partial 16S ribosomal RNA". It matches the Rfam family "Bacterial small subunit ribosomal RNA", at positions 524 to 776 of the family's 1533-position model. The record is from RNAcentral.